This 253-nucleotide ribosomal RNA is filed under the name uncultured bacterium. RNAcentral's name for it is "partial 16S ribosomal RNA". It matches the Rfam family "Archaeal small subunit ribosomal RNA", at positions 474 to 727 of the family's 1478-position model. The record is from RNAcentral.
UACCAGCACCCCGAGUGGUCGGGACGAUUAUUGGGCCUAAAGCAUCCGUAGCCGGUUCUACAAGUCUUCCGUUAAAUCCACCUGCCUAACAGAUGGGCUGCGGAGGAUACUAUAGAGCUAGGAGGCGGGAGAGGCAAGCGGUACUUAGUGGGUAGGGGUAAAAUCCGUUGAUCCAUUGAAGACCACCAGUGGCGAAGGCGGCUUGCCAGAACGCACUCGACGGUGAGGGAUGAAAGCUGGGGGAGCAAACCGG